Molecule: ribosomal RNA, 433 nt
Filed under: uncultured bacterium
Lineage: Bacteria
Description: partial 16S ribosomal RNA
Rfam family: Bacterial small subunit ribosomal RNA
Source: RNAcentral
AACGAACGCUGGCGGCAUGCCUAACACAUGCAAGUCGAACGAGACCUUCGGGUCUAGUGGCGCACGGGUGAGUAACGCGUGGGAACCUGCCCUUAGGUUCGGAAUAACUCCCCGAAAGGGGUGCUAAUACCGGAUAAUGUCUUCGGACCAAAGAUUUAUCGCCUUUGGAUGGGCCCGCGUUGGAUUAGCUAGUUGGUAGGGUAAAAGCCUACCAAGGCGACGAUCCAUAGCUGGUCUGAGAGGAUGAUCAGCCACACUGGGACUGAGACACGGCCCAGACUCCUACGGAAGGCAGCAGUGUGUAAUAUUAUACAAUGGACGAUAGCCUGAUCCAGCAAUGCCGCGUGAGUGAUGAAGGCCUUAGGGAUGUAAAUCUCUUUUACCCGAGAUGAUAAUGACAGUACCGGGAGAAGAAGCUCCGGCUAACUCCGUG